UUGAGGUUGUGCAGAAUGGGGCUUGAAAACGGAUUCGAAAUCCGUUGAGUCAGCAAUGGCUCCUAGGGUUCAAAUCCCUAUCUCUCC
This 87-nucleotide transfer RNA is filed under the name Pseudomonas aeruginosa. RNAcentral's name for it is "tRNA-Ser". Lineage: Bacteria; Pseudomonadati; Pseudomonadota; Gammaproteobacteria; Pseudomonadales; Pseudomonadaceae. The record is from RNAcentral.